This 761-nucleotide ribosomal RNA is filed under the name uncultured bacterium. RNAcentral describes it as "bacterial SSU rRNA". It matches the Rfam family "Bacterial small subunit ribosomal RNA", at positions 60 to 816 of the family's 1533-position model. The record is from RNAcentral.
AGUCGAGCGGCAGCACAGAGGAACUUGUUCCUUGGGUGGCGAGCGGCGGACGGGUGAGUAAUGCCUAGGAAAUUGCCCUGAUGUGGGGGAUAACCAUUGGAAACGAUGGCUAAUACCGCAUGAUGCCUACGGGCCAAAGAGGGGACCUUCGGGCCUCUCGCGUCAGGAUAUGCCUAGGUGGGAUUAGCUAGUUGGUGAGGUAAUGGCUCACCAAGGCGACGAUCCCUAGCUGGUCUGAGAGGAUGAUCAGCCACACUGGAACUGAGACACGGUCCAGACUCCUACGGGAGGCAGCAGUGGGGAAUAUUGCACAAUGGGCGCAAGCCUGAUGCAGCCAUGCCGCGUGUAUGAAGAAGGCCUUCGGGUUGUAAAGUACUUUCAGUCGUGAGGAAGGUGGUGUUGUUAAUAGCAGCAUCAUUUGACGUUAGCGACAGAAGAAGCACCGGCUAACUCCGUGCCAGCAGCCGCGGUAAUACGGAGGGUGCGAGCGUUAAUCGGAAUUACUGGGCGUAAAGCGCAUGCAGGUGGUGGAUUAAGUCAGAUGUGAAAGCCCGGGGCUCAACCUCGGAACCGCAUUUGAAACUGGUUCACUAGAGUACUGUAGAGGGGGGUAGAAUUUCAGUGUAGCGGUGAAAUGCGUAGAGAUCUGAAGAAUACCGGUGGCGAAGCGGCCCCCUGGACAGAUACUGACACUCAGAUGCGAAAGCGUGGGGAGCAAACAGAUUAGAUACCCUGCUAGUCCACGCCGUAACGAUGUCUAC